UAUGGCCAUACCAUUCUGAAUGUGCCUGAUCUUGUCUGAUCUCAGAAGAUAAAAUGAUCUUGUCUGAUCUCAGAAGAUAAAAUAU
This 85-nucleotide ribosomal RNA is filed under the name Carlito syrichta (Philippine tarsier). The record is from RNAcentral. Lineage: Eukaryota; Metazoa; Chordata; Mammalia; Primates; Tarsiidae.